GGGUAGAAGCCUACCAAGGCAAUGAUGCGUAGCCGAGUUGAGAGACUGGCCGGCCACAUUGGGACUGAGACACUGCCCAAACUCCUACGGGAGGCUGCAGUAGGGAAUUUUCCGCAAUGCACGAAAGUGUGACGGAGCGACGCCGCGUGUGUGAUGAAGGCUUUCGGGUCGUAAAGCACUGUUGUAAGGGAAGAAUAACUGAAUUCAGAGAAAGUUUUCAGCUUGACGGUACCUUACCAGAAAGGGAUGGCUAAAUACGUGCCAGCAGCCGCGGUAAUACGUAUGUCCCGAGCGUUAUCCGGAUUUAUUGGGCGUAAAGCGAGCGCAGACGGUUUAUUAAGUCUGAUGUGAAAUCCCGAGGCCCAACCUCGGAACUGCAUUGGAAACUGAUUUACUUGAGUGCGAUAGAGGCAAGUGGAACUCCAUGUGUAGCGGUGAAAUGCGUAGAUAUGUGGAAGAACACCAGUGGCGAAAGCGGCUUGCUAGAUCGUAACUGACGUUGAGGCUCGAAAG
RNAcentral lists this ribosomal RNA (513 nucleotides) under Oenococcus oeni. Its description in RNAcentral is "bacterial SSU rRNA". It matches the Rfam family "Bacterial small subunit ribosomal RNA", at positions 255 to 759 of the family's 1533-position model. Lineage: Bacteria; Bacillati; Bacillota; Bacilli; Lactobacillales; Lactobacillaceae. The record is from RNAcentral.